Molecule: ribosomal RNA, 486 nt
Filed under: uncultured bacterium
Lineage: Bacteria
Description: bacterial SSU rRNA
Rfam family: Bacterial small subunit ribosomal RNA
Source: RNAcentral
AACGAACGCUGGCGGCGCGCCUAACACAUGCAAGUCGAACGAGAAUCCGGGGCAACCCGGUAGUAAAGUGGCAAACGGGUGAGGAAUACAUGGGUAACCUACCCUUGAGAAGGGAAUAACCCGCCGAAAGGUGAGCUAAUACCCUAUACGCUAUCUUUUUUUCGAAAAGGAUAGGAAAGCCGGGUCGAGGACCUGGUACUCAAGGAGGGGCUCAUGUCCUAUCAGCUUGUUGGUGGGGUAACGGCCUACCAAGGCUACGACGGGUAGCUGGUCUGAGAGGAUGAUCAGCCACACUGGCACUGAGAUACGGGCCAGACUCCUACGGGAGGCAGCAGUGAGGAAUAUUGCGCAAUGGGCGAAAGCCUGACGCAGCGACGCCGCGUGGGGGAUGAAGGUUUUCGGAUUGUAAACCCCUUUCACUGAGGAGAGAUAAAGUGGGUAACCACUUAGACGGUACCUCAAGAAGAAGCCACGGCUAACUUCGUG